UACGUAGGUGGCGAGCGUUGUCCGGAAUUACUGGGUGUAAAGGGAGCGUAGGCGGGAGUGCAAGUUGAAUGUUAAAUCUAUCGGCUCAACCGAUAGCCGCGUUCAAAAAUGCAUUUCUUGAGUGAAGUAGAGGUUGGCGGAAUUCCUAGUGUAGCGGUGAAAUGCGUAGAUAUUAGGAGGAACACCAGUGGCGAAGGCGGCCAACUGGGCUUUACUGACGCUGAGGCUCGAAAGCGUGGGGAGCAAACAGGAUUAGAUACCCGGGUAGUCCCUGAG
This 276-nucleotide ribosomal RNA is filed under the name uncultured prokaryote. RNAcentral's name for it is "partial 16S ribosomal RNA". It matches the Rfam family "Bacterial small subunit ribosomal RNA", at positions 524 to 801 of the family's 1533-position model. The record is from RNAcentral.